AUUGAACGCUGGCGGCAGGCCUAACACAUGCAAGUCGAACGAGUGGCGGACGGGUGAGUAAUGACUGGGAAACUGCCUGAUGGAGGGGGAUAACUACUGGAAACGGUAGCUAAUAACGCAUACCAUCGGAUGUGCCCAGAUGGGAUUAGCUAGUGGGGGGGGUAACGGCUCACAUGGGAGACGAUCCCUAGCUGGUCUGAGAGGAUGACCAGCCACACUGGAACUGAGACACGGUCCAGACUCCUACGGGAGGCAGCAGUGGGGAAUAUUGCACAAUGGGCGCAAGCCUGAUGCAGCCAUGCCGCGUGGGUGAAGAAGGUCUUCGGAUUGUAAAGCACUUUAAGUUGGGAGGCGUUACCAACAGAAUAAGCACCGGCUAACUUCGUGCCAGCAGCCGCGGUAAUAC
Molecule: ribosomal RNA, 406 nt
Filed under: uncultured bacterium
Lineage: Bacteria
Description: partial 16S ribosomal RNA
Rfam family: Bacterial small subunit ribosomal RNA
Source: RNAcentral